This 791-nucleotide ribosomal RNA is filed under the name uncultured Staphylococcus sp. Its description in RNAcentral is "bacterial SSU rRNA". It matches the Rfam family "Bacterial small subunit ribosomal RNA", at positions 129 to 906 of the family's 1533-position model. The record is from RNAcentral. Lineage: Bacteria; Bacillati; Bacillota; Bacilli; Caryophanales; Staphylococcaceae.
CCUAUAAGACUGGGAUAACUUCGGGAAACCGGAGCUAAUACCGGAUAACAUUUAGAACCGCAUGGUUCUAAAGUGAAAGAUGGUUUUGCUAUCACUUAUAGAUGGACCCGCGCCGUAUUAGCUAGUUGGUAAGGUAACGGCUUACCAAGGCGACGAUACGUAGCCGACCUGAGAGGGUGAUCGGCCACACUGGAACUGAGACACGGUCCAGACUCCUACGGGAGGCAGCAGUAGGGAAUCUUCCGCAAUGGGCGAAAGCCUGACGGAGCAACGCCGCGUGAGUGAUGAAGGGUUUCGGCUCGUAAAACUCUGUUAUUAGGGAAGAACAAAUGUGUAAGUAACUGUGCACAUCUUGACGGUACCUAAUCAGAAAGCCACGGCUAACUACGUGCCAGCAGCCGCGGUAAUACGUAGGUGGCAAGCGUUAUCCGGAAUUAUUGGGCGUAAAGCGCGCGUAGGCGGUUUCUUAAGUCUGAUGUGAAAGCCCACGGCUCAACCGUGGAGGGUCAUUGGAAACUGGGAAACUUGAGUGCAGAAGAGGAAAGUGGAAUUCCAUGUGUAGCGGUGAAAUGCGCAGAGAUAUGGAGGAACACCAGUGGCGAAGGCGACUUUCUGGUCUGUAACUGACGCUGAUGUGCGAAAGCGUGGGGAUCAAACAGGAUUAGAUACCCUGGUAGUCCACGCCGUAAACGAUGAGUGCUAAGUGUUAGGGGGUUUCCGCCCCUUAGUGCUGCAGCUAACGCAUUAAGCACUCCGCCUGGGGAGUACGACCGCAAGGUUGAAACUCAGAG